CUUGGAAGAUGGUGUGUUGAUUUGGAGCAAAAUCUCGAACACAGAUGUGUCUUUGAUCUCCUGUUGGCAGUUUUUUCAGAGAUGUCCCUCUCAUAUUUUAAUCUUAGUUGGAAUUGCUGACUUUUCAAAGUUUGAGGCAAUCACGUGGGUGUGCUUUUGAUCCCUUGGGUUUGAAACCUAACAAAAAUUUACGGGCUGGUCCUUGAAGCCUAAUUGAAAGUUUCCACGUUUUGGGCUUUCUUGGGCUGGGGCUUCGUUUUCAACACUUUUGGUGUGAAGCCCAAUCUGUCUAGAUCCUAUUUUUGUUAUUCUCAAGUCUUUGGGCUGGGCAGGUAUUUUUAUCAUGGGCCUGUCUUUUGGACUUUGGCGUGCUGAAUUUGGGCCCAAACAAUGCCCCCUAAGUCUGAAUCGUUUUGGAACGGUUUCAGACUUAAUGUUUUGCCAUUAAUUCGCGCGCCAGUUUUCCGUUUUUUCGCCCACGUCUGCCACGUUUGCCUACUACGAACUAGAGUUCGUGGGAAAACGGCUAGUUAUUAGCUAGUUACUAGCUAAUAAUCAUCAGGUGCCGUCCCGUUUUCUUCUUCCCACGUUUUCGAGCUCCUCUUUAAAAAGAAAUUCAAAUCCACCGCUUUUGAAAAACCCUAAACCUUCCGACUCUGUUCCUCCGAGCUUUUCUUCGGGAUUUCCGUUGUUUUCUUCAGACCUCUCUUUUCUCUGCUUCUUCCCCGAAUCAGAAAUGUCUUCCCCAAGGUCCCGCGCUCAAUCUUCUUCCGCUCCAGUUCCUCCCGAUUACAUCACUGGGACCGGGAUUGAUACUCACGCGAUAGAAGUCAGGAGCAAGCUUCAUCCCUU
RNAcentral lists this long non-coding RNA (852 nucleotides) under Prunus persica (peach). Its description in RNAcentral is "long non-coding RNA (PPER_LNC006104)". Lineage: Eukaryota; Viridiplantae; Streptophyta; Magnoliopsida; Rosales; Rosaceae. The record is from RNAcentral.